GGUGUGUCUGUGCUGCUGCUGUCUGCACUGACUGUUUCUGCAGUCAUCUCCGUCUUGCUUCCCUUCUCUUGGAUCAGACCGACCUGUCAUUUAGUGGUCUUGAUUCCGUUCUGCAUCUCCACCCUCCUGAUGGUGUCAGUCCACAGAAACAUGACAACAGCAGGACGCCCACUGGCCGUUUCCAUGGAGAUGGCUCAACAUGUUGACGAAGCUCAGGGAUUGGAUGAAGACUAUGAUGACAUCGGUGCUGAUGUCACCACAGUGUAUGACUUGUGAGAACCAAUGAAACUAGUUCAUAAGCAAACUGUUUGUUCCAUGUUCCAGAUCAAUAAACGUCUUUGUCAGCA
Molecule: long non-coding RNA, 347 nt
Organism: Lates calcarifer (barramundi perch)
Lineage: Eukaryota; Metazoa; Chordata; Actinopteri; Centropomidae
Exons: 3
Source: RefSeq, a predicted model, not a curated record